CGUGGGUAACCUGCCUGUAAGACUGGGAUAACUCCGGGAAACCGGGGCUAAUACCGGAUGCUUGUUUGAACCGCAUGGUUCAAACAUAAAAGGUGGCUUCGGCUACCACUUACAGAUGGACCCGCGGCGCAUUAGCUAGUUGGUGAGGUAAUGGCUCACCAAGGCGACGAUGCGUAGCCGACCUGAGAGGGUGAUCGGCCACACUGGGACUGAGACACGGCCCAGACUCCUACGGGAGGCAGCAGUAGGGAAUCUUCCGCAAUGGACGAAAGUCUGACGGAGCAACGCCGCGUGAGUGAUGAAGGUUUUCGGAUCGUAAAGCUCUGUUGUUAGGGAAGAACAAGUACCGUUCGAAUAGGGCGGUACCUUGACGGUACCUAACCAGAAAGCCACGGCUAACUACGUGCCAGCAGCCGCGGUAAUACGUAGGUGGCAAGCGUUGUCCGGAAUUAUUGGGCGUAAAGGGCUCGCAGCGGUUUCUUAAGUCUGAUGUGAAAGCCCCCGGCUCAACCGGGGAAGGGUCAUUGGAAACUGGGGAACUUGAGUGCAGAAGAGGAGAGUGGAAUUCCACGUGUAGCGGUGAAAUGCGUAGAGAUGUGGAGGAACACCAGUGGCGAAGGCGACUCUCUGGUCUGUAACUGACGCUGAGGAGCGAAAGCGUGGGGAGCGAACAGGAUUAGAUACCCUGGUAGUCCACGCCGUAAACGAUGAGUGCUAAGUGUUAGGGGGUUUCCGCCCCUUAGUGCUGCAGCUAACGCAUUAAGCACUCCGCCUGGGGAGUACGGUCGCAAGACUGAAACUCAAAGGAAUUGACGGGGGCCCGCACAAGCGGUGGAGCAUGUGGUUUAAUUCGAAGCAACGCGAAGAACCUUACCAGGUCUUGACAUCCUCUGACAAUCCUAGAGAUAGGACGUCCCCUUCGGGGGCAGAGUGACAGGUGGUGCAUGGUUGUCGUCAGCUCGUGUCGUGAGAUGUUGGGUUAAGUCCCGCAACGAGCGCAACCCUUGAUCUUAGUUGCCAGCAUUCAGUUGGGCACUCUAAGGUGACUGCCGGUGACAAACCGGAGGAAGGUGGGGAUGACGUCAAAUCAUCAUGCCCCUUAUGACCUGGGCUACACACGUGCUACAAUGGACAGAACAAAGGGCAGCGAAACCGCGAGGUUAAGCCAAUCCCACAAAUCUGUUCUCAGUUCGGAUCGCAGUCUGCAACUCGACUGCGUGA
This 1221-nucleotide ribosomal RNA is filed under the name Bacillus spizizenii. Its description in RNAcentral is "bacterial SSU rRNA". It matches the Rfam family "Bacterial small subunit ribosomal RNA", at positions 116 to 1323 of the family's 1533-position model. Lineage: Bacteria; Bacillati; Bacillota; Bacilli; Caryophanales; Bacillaceae. The record is from RNAcentral.